UGGGGAAUAUUGCGCAAUGGCCGCAAGGCUGACGCAGCGACGCCGCGUGUGGGAUGACGGCCUUCGGGUUGUAAACCACUGUCGGGGGGGACGAAUACAGGGCUUCGAAUAGGGGACCCUGGGUGACGGUACCCUCAAAGGAAGCACCGGCUAACUCCGUGCCAGCAGCCGCGGUAAUACGGAGGGUGCGAGCGUUAAUCGGAAUUACUGGGCGUAAAGCGUGCGUAGGUGGUUUGUUAAGUCAGGUGUGAAAUCCUCGGGCUCAACCCGGGAACUGCGCUUGAUACUGGCAGACUCGAGUGUGGUAGAGGAUAGUGGAAUUCCCGGUGUAGCGGUGAAAUGCGUAGAUAUCGGGAGGAACAUCAGUGGCGAAGGCGGCUCUCUGGACUAACCCUGACGCUGAGGUGCGAAAGCGUGGGUAGCGAACGGGAUUAGAUACCCCGGUAGUCCACGCUGUAAACGAUGGAUACUAGGUGUAGGGGAUGAAAAAUUUUCUGUGCCGUAGCAAACGCGAUAAGUAUCCCGCCUGGGGAGUACGACCGCAAGGUUA
Molecule: ribosomal RNA, 550 nt
Filed under: uncultured bacterium
Lineage: Bacteria
Description: bacterial SSU rRNA
Rfam family: Bacterial small subunit ribosomal RNA
Source: RNAcentral